AAGUUAACAUUAGAUGCAAGCGUGCAUAUGAAGCAUGCGUAGAUAAACCAAGCGUUAAAAUAACGGUAUAGUAUCUAAAGUUAGACCCGAAGCCUAGGGAUUUUACCACAAUCAGGAUUAUAAAAGUCCGAACGGUAUAUUGUUGCAUAAAUAUCCGAAGAAUUGUGGUAGGUAUAGUGAAAGACAACACUGACUAGGAAUA
Molecule: ribosomal RNA, 202 nt
Filed under: Stachybotrys chartarum
Lineage: Eukaryota; Fungi; Ascomycota; Sordariomycetes; Hypocreales; Stachybotryaceae
Also listed under: 1 other name
Description: partial large subunit ribosomal RNA
Rfam family: Bacterial large subunit ribosomal RNA
Source: RNAcentral